CUACGGGGUGCUGCAGUGAGGAAUAUUGCACAAUGGGGGGAACCUUGAUGCAGCAACGCCGCGUGGAGGAUGACGCAUUUCGGUGUGUAAACUCCUUUUAUAUGUCAAGAAAAUGACGGUAGCAUAUGAAUAAGCACCGGCUAACUCCGUGCCAGCAGCCGCGGUAAUACGGAGGGUGCAAGCGUUACUCGGAAUCACUGGGCGUAAAGGACGCGUAGGCGGGUUGGAAAGUCAGGUGUGAAAUCCUACAGCUUAACUGUAGAACUGCACUUGAAACUUCUAAUCUAGAGGAUGGGAGGGGGAGAUGGAAUUAGUGGUGUAGGGGUAAAAUCCGUAGAUAUCACUAGGAAUACCUAAAGCGAAGGCGAUCUCCUGGAACAUUACUGACGCUAAGGCGUGAAAGCGUGGGGAGCAAACAGGAUUAGAUACCCGGGUAGUC
RNAcentral lists this ribosomal RNA (439 nucleotides) under uncultured bacterium. RNAcentral describes it as "partial 16S ribosomal RNA". It matches the Rfam family "Bacterial small subunit ribosomal RNA", at positions 339 to 795 of the family's 1533-position model. The record is from RNAcentral.